CUGCCUUUGAACUGGAAAUAGAGAAGGAAUAGAACACACUCUUAAAGAAAUUAAAGUAAUAAAGCAAAAUGGGUACCACUUUAUUUUAAGAACCCAUUAACCAGAGCAUAAGAGAGAAAGUCAAAAUGGAAAUCUCUGAGAAAUGAACAGGUGAAACAUAUGCCAUUCUUCCCACACAAGCAUUAGUCUAGCAAUCAGCCCAUCCAGAAUAUAUGUCAAAAACAUUUCACAGGGGAAUACUUAAAAAGUAUAUUUUAUAUUCUUAAAGAUAGGGUCUCAUUGAAUUCUCAAUUUAUGCAAAGGACUCAUUAAGAGACUGAAAUAAUGUUUUCAUUUGUUAAUGACAAACCCUUAAUUUAUUUUCUCUGUUAAGCCACUGCAAGUCUUUGGGUUCAGGAUGACAUAAAAUACUUUAUAUGAAAUAAUCUGACUCAUGACAAUUUUAUUCCCUGUAAAUUGGAUGGACACAAAUUUUCUUAAACUGCAAAUAUUAUUCUUGGUGUCAUGAACUGUCAUUGCUUCCUAAAUCUUCAAAAUUUGUUUCAUUUAAAUAUAUUGGCCAAUGCUAGAGUUAAUGAUGAUGAAUACGAUUAAGAUUAAAUUUUUAAUAAACUGGAUUGACUGUAGCCAUGGGCAGAAACCAGCUAUCUACAUGAUGGGAUCUCUGUUGCUUGAAAAGUUUCCUGAAUUAUAAAUAUUUUUCUAUUUGUUCUUAAGGUACCUAAAACUUGGUUUAAAAUUAUUUGUUUAAACCAUUGGUAUCAUAAGGCCACAUUAAUAUACCCAUCAGGGAGGUGUUUUGAGGUAGUACUUUAAUAGGUGUUAUGUUUCUUAAGUUUUUUUUUUUUUUACAGUUUUUAAUUUUAUUAUUUAUUUAUUUUUGUUUUCUCAUUAAACUUUUUAAAUGGGCCUCAAAAUUCUGUGACAAAUUUUUGGUCAAGUUGUUUCCAUUAAAAAGUACUGAUUUUAAAAACUGAUAAAACUGCCGCAAGCAAAAAAGAAAACCAAAGGGGUCCACAAAACAUUCUCCUUUCCUUCUGAAGGUUUUACGAUGCAUUGUUAUCAUUAACCAGGCUUUUACUACUAAACUUAAAUGGCCAAUUGAAACAAACAGUUCUGAGACCGUUCUUUCUCCACCACUGAUUAAGACUGAGAGAUGGGAAGAGCACACGUGUG
Molecule: long non-coding RNA, 1176 nt
Organism: Sapajus apella (tufted capuchin)
Lineage: Eukaryota; Metazoa; Chordata; Mammalia; Primates; Cebidae
Exons: 4
Source: RefSeq, a predicted model, not a curated record